GCUGGUGUGGCCGAGUGGUCUAAGGCGGUAGACUCAAGAUCUACUGACGAAAGUCGCGUGGGUUCGAAUACCGAUCGAAAAAGGUUCGAAAUUCCCACCGCCAGCA
This 106-nucleotide transfer RNA is filed under the name Galdieria sulphuraria. Its description in RNAcentral is "tRNA-Leu". It matches the Rfam family "tRNA". Rfam says of the family: Transfer RNA (tRNA) molecules are approximately 80 nucleotides in length. Their secondary structure includes four short double-helical elements and three loops (D, anti-codon, and T loops). Lineage: Eukaryota; Rhodophyta; Bangiophyceae; Galdieriales; Galdieriaceae. The record is from RNAcentral.